This 455-nucleotide ribosomal RNA is filed under the name uncultured Sphingobacteriales bacterium. RNAcentral's name for it is "bacterial SSU rRNA". It matches the Rfam family "Bacterial small subunit ribosomal RNA", at positions 927 to 1382 of the family's 1533-position model. Lineage: Bacteria; Pseudomonadati; Bacteroidota; Sphingobacteriia; Sphingobacteriales. The record is from RNAcentral.
AAGCGGAGGAGCAUGUGGUUUAAUUCGAUGAUACGCGAGGAACCUUACCUGGGCUCGAACGUAAGAUGACUGUAGGUGAAAGCUUACAUCUCUUCGGAGCAUUUUACGAGGUGCUGCAUGGUUGUCGUCAGCUCGUGCCGUGAGGUGUCGGGUUAAGUCCCAUAACGAGCGCAACCCCUACCUUUAGUUGCCAUCAGGUUAAGCUGGGGACUCUAAAGGAACUGCCUACGCAAGUAGUGAGGAAGGCGGGGAUGACGUCAAAUCAGCACGGCCCUUACGUCCAGGGCUACACACGUGCUACAAUGGCCGAUACAGAGGGCAGCUACCUGGUGACAGGAUGCAAAUCUCCAAAGUCGGUCUCAGUUCGGAUCGGAGUCUGCAACCCGACUCCGUGAAGUUGGAAUCGCUAGUAAUCGCGCAUCAGCCAUGGCGCGGUGAAUACGUUCCCGGGCCUU